This 3275-nucleotide unclassified non-coding RNA is filed under the name Hevea brasiliensis (rubber tree). The record is from RNAcentral. Lineage: Eukaryota; Viridiplantae; Streptophyta; Magnoliopsida; Malpighiales; Euphorbiaceae.
AAAGGAUAAUUGGCAUUAUCGUUAAAGAAAUUGAAAGCAACAUUUCAAAGAAUACAUUUCUUACAAAUUUCAGAAUGGGUCCCUUACCUGCUCUUUGCAAGAAAUUUGUGGAGCUUGUGGAGAUUUUGAAAGAUGGUGAUCCAUCCAAGCGAGAUAAUGUGGUAUUAUUGCUGCUGGACAUGUUAGAAGUAGUUACCCGUGAUAUGAUGGUGAAUGAGAAUCGCGAAUCGAUGGACCUUGGACAUGGCGGAAAGGAUUCAGGAAGGCAACUUUUUUCUGGUACUGAUGCAAAACCUGCUAUAAUGUUCCCUCCUGUAGUUACAGCACAGUGGGAUGAACAGAUAAGGCGUCUUCAUCUUCUUUUGACUGUAAAAGAAUCUGCUAUGGAUGUACCAACAAACCUUGAAGCACGUAGAAGGAUUUCAUUCUUCACGAAUUCCUUGUUUAUGGAUAUGCCACGUGCUCCCCGAGUCCGUAAAAUGCUUUCAUUCAGUGUCAUGACCCCAUAUUACAGUGAAGAGACUAUUUAUUCGAAAUCUGACCUUGAAAUGGAGAAUGAAGAUGGUGUAUCAAUCAUUUACUACUUGCAAAAGAUCUACCCAGAUGAAUGGAACAACUUCAUGGAACGACUCAAUUGUAAAAAGGAGAGUGAAAUUUGGGAAAAUGAAGAAAACAUUUUGCUUCUACGUCAUUGGGCCUCCUUAAGAGGUCAAACUCUUUUCCGCACAGUUAGAGGGAUGAUGUAUUACAGACGGGCUUUGAAACUUCAGGCCUUCCUUGAUAUGGCUAGAGAGACUGAGAUACUAGAAGGCUAUAAAGCAAUUUCAAUUCCAUCUGAGGAAGAUAAGAAAAGCCAAAGAUCCCUGUAUGCUAAACUAGAGGCAGUAGCAGACAUGAAAUUCACAUAUGUUGCUACCUGUCAAAAUUAUGGAAAUCAGAAGCGGAGUGGUGAUCGCCAUGCAACAGAUAUCCUGAAUUUGAUGGUUAACAAUCCCUCCCUACGUGUUGCAUAUAUUGACGAAGUUGAAGAAAGUGAUGGUGUAAAAGCUCAGAAGGUUUACUAUUCUGUGUUGAUCAAAGCUCUUGAUAAUCUUGAUCAGGAAAUCUAUCGUAUAAAAUUGCCAGGUUCUGCAAAAUUAGGAGAAGGAAAGCCUGAAAAUCAGAAUCAUGCGAUAAUAUUUACCCGAGGUGAAGCUCUUCAAGCCAUUGACAUGAAUCAGGAUAAUUACUUAGAAGAAGCAUUCAAAAUGCGCAACCUUCUUGAAGAAUUUCAUGAGGAUCAUGGGGUGCGUCCACCUACAAUUUUAGGUGUUCGUGAACAUAUCUUCACAGGAAGUGUUUCUUCUCUGGCUUGGUUCAUGUCAAAUCAAGAAACGAGUUUUGUCACCAUUGGUCAAAGAGUUCUUGCAAGACCAUUGAAGAUCCGGUUCCAUUAUGGGCAUCCAGAUGUGUUUGAUAGAAUCUUUCACAUCACCAGGGGUGGCAUCAGCAAGGCUUCUCGUGGUAUCAAUUUGAGCGAGGAUAUCUUUGCCGGUUUCAAUUCAACAUUAAGACGAGGGAAUGUCACUCAUCAUGAGUAUAUUCAAGUAGGGAAAGGUCGAGAUGUUGGACUCAACCAAAUCUCUCUUUUUGAAGCAAAAGUGGCAUGUGGCAAUGGGGAGCAAACCCUCAGCAGGGAUAUCUACAGAUUGGGCCAUCGUUUUGACUUCUUCCGCAUGCUUUCCUGCUAUUUUACAACAAUUGGCUUUUAUGUCAGUGCAAUGAUGGUUGUCCUUACGGUCUAUGCUUACUUGUAUGGCAAGCUUUACCUAUCAUUGAGUGGAUUGGAGGGUUCAAUAAUAAAAUAUGCAAGGAUUAGGGGAGAUGAUCCGCUAAAGGCAGCCAUGGCCUCGCAAUCCCUUGUCCAAAUAGGUCUUUUGAUGGCCUUGCCCAUGGUCAUGGAGAUGGGACUGGAGAGAGGGUUCAGAACAGCAUUAGGUGACAUAAUCAUCAUGCAGCUUCAGCUUGCUGCUGUUUUCUUUACCUUCUCCCUUGGUACAAAGGCCCAUUAUUAUGGACGAACUGUGUUGCAUGGAGGGGCAAAAUACAGAGCUACUGGGCGUGGUUUUGUGGUCCGGCAUGAGAAGUUUGCUGAGAACUAUAGGAUGUACUCAAGGAGCCACUUUGUCAAAGGGCUGGAGCUUAUGAUAUUGCUUAUAUGUUAUCAGAUAUAUGGAAAGGCAGCAACUGAUGCAACAGCUUAUGCAUUUCUCACAUUCUCAAUGUGGUUCUUAGUGGCUUCUUGGUUGUUUGCUCCUUUCCUUUUUAACCCAUCUGGAUUUGAAUGGCAGAAGAUUGUAGAUGAUUGGGAUGAUUGGACGAAGUGGAUAAGCAGCCAGGGAGGUAUCGGUGUACCUGCAAACAAGAGCUGGGAGUCUUGGUGGGAAGAGGAACAGGAGCACCUUCAACAUACUGGCCUUCUGGGUCGAUUAUGUGAGAUUAUUCUUGCCAUGCGCUUCAUCGUCUAUCAAUAUGGAAUUGUCUAUCAACUACAAGUGACCAGGGAAAGUUCAGCUGGCAGAAGUCGGAGCAUUGCUGUUUAUGGUCUGUCCUGGCUGGUAAUUGUUGCUGUGAUGAUCAUCUUAAAGAUUGUUUCCAAGGGCAGAAAAAAAUUUAGCGCAGAUUUCCAGUUGAUGUUCAGACUUCUUAAGUUGUUUCUGUUUAUAGGAUUUAUGGUCAUUCUUGUUAUUCUGUUUACCACCCUUCAUCUCACAGUUGGAGACAUUUUUCAGAGCUUACUAGCCUUUCUGCCUACCGGAUGGGCGCUUCUGCAGAUAUCACAAGCAUCAAGACCAUUGUUAAAGGGUAUCAAAAUGUGGGGGUCUGUGAAGGCUCUUGCUAGAGGAUAUGAAUACAUGAUGGGAUUGGUCAUCUUUACACCAGUAGCUGUACUGGCCUGGUUCCCAUUCGUAUCGGAGUUCCAGACCAGGCUUCUGUUCAACCAAGCAUUCAGUCGAGGGCUUCAGAUCCAACGUAUUCUGGCUGGUGGGAAGAAGAACAAAUAGGUGCUGCCUCCACUUGAUCUUGAUUAUAAUUUUGGUGGGCCAUGGCCAUGUCCCCUGUUCAUAUGUACCAUAGAGAUGGCCGCAACAUGAAAGUGUCUGUUGUGUUUUAUCUUUGGCCUUGGUCGUAUUUGAAAGAAUGCAUAAGUUUGUUCUUUGAGUUCCUUACCAAUCGUAAAUAAUUUUCUUCAACAAUGAUAUUGAAAUUAAAUUCAAUGCAAUAUAUUGCAAAAA